Long non-coding RNA from Zonotrichia albicollis (white-throated sparrow), 236 nucleotides. The record is from Ensembl. NCBI's taxonomy places the organism in Eukaryota, Metazoa, Chordata, Aves, Passeriformes, Passerellidae.
ACGCCCUGACCGCCGACGAGGCCAACAGAAAGUACAGCUACAAGGGGCUGGUGGCCGAGGCCCUGCGGCAGCUGGUGGGGGAGGAAUGCUACCGGCAGGACGAGGUGCUGCCCCCUGGGUACUGCACAGACUUCCUGCUGUGGAUCAACCGCUCAGGCACGGUGCUGCCUCUCUCCCGCGUUCCAGCAGCUUCCAGGGCGCCCCCAGCCACGUCCCCCGUCACCAUGUCCCUGCGC